Molecule: ribosomal RNA, 885 nt
Filed under: Pezicula radicicola
Lineage: Eukaryota; Fungi; Ascomycota; Leotiomycetes; Helotiales; Dermateaceae
Description: partial large subunit ribosomal RNA
Rfam family: Eukaryotic large subunit ribosomal RNA
Source: RNAcentral
AGCAUAUCAAUAAGCGGAGGAAAAGAAACCAACAGGGAUUACCUCAGUAACGGCGAGUGAAGCGGUAACAGCUCAAAUUUGAAAUCUGGGUCUUUCAGGCUCCGAGUUGUAAUUUGUAGAAGAUGCUUUGGGUGCGGCCCCGGUCUAAGUUCCUUGGAACAGGACGUCAUAGAGGGUGAGAAUCCCGUAUGUGAUCGGUGGCUUGCGCCCGUGUAAAGCUCUUUCGACGAGUCGGGUUGUUUGGGAAUGCAGCUCUAAAUGGGUGGUAAAUUUCAUCUAAAGCUAAAUAUUGGCCAGAGACCGAUAGCGCACAAGUAGAGUGAUCGAAAGAUGAAAAGCACUUUGGAAAGAGAGUUAAACAGUACGUGAAAUUGUUGAAAGGGAAGCGCUUGCAACCAGACUUGCGCGGGGUUGAUCAUCCGGGGUUCUCCCCGGUGCACUCGGCCUCGCUCAGGCCAGCAUCGGUUUCGGUGGUUGGAUAAAGGCCUUGGGAAUGUGACUCCUUUCGGGGAGUGUUAUAGCCCUCGGUGCAAUGCAGCCUACCGGGACCGAGGACCGCGCUUCGGCUAGGAUGCUGGCGUAAUGGUUGUAAGCGACCCGUCUUGAAACACGGACCAAGGAGUCUAACAUCUAUGCGAGUGUUUGGGUGUCAAACCCAUACGCGUAAUGAAAGUGAACGGAGGUGAGAACCCUUAAGGGUGCAUCAUCGACCGAUCCUGAUGUCUUCGGAUGGAUUUGAGUAAGAGCAUAGCUGUUGGGACCCGAAAGAUGGUGAACUAUGCCUGAAUAGGGUGAAGCCAGAGGAAACUCUGGUGGAGGCUCGCAGCGGUUCUGACGUGCAAAUCGAUCGUCAAAUUUGGGUAUAGGGGCGAAAGACUAAUCGAA